GACGUAGGGGGCGAGCGUUGUCCGGAUUUAUUGGGCGUAAAGCGCGCGUAGGCGGCCGCGCAAGUCGGAUGUGAAAACCCGGGGCUCAACCCCGGGCGUGCAUUCGAUACUGCGCGGCUCGAGACAGGUAGGGGAGAUCGGAAUUCUUGGUGUAGCGGUGAAAUGCGUAGAUAUCAAGAGGAACACCUGAGGUGAAGACGGGUUGCUGGGCUGAUACUGACGCUGAAGCGCGAAAGCUAGGGUAGCAAACGGG
This 253-nucleotide ribosomal RNA is filed under the name uncultured bacterium. RNAcentral describes it as "partial 16S ribosomal RNA". It matches the Rfam family "Bacterial small subunit ribosomal RNA", at positions 524 to 776 of the family's 1533-position model. The record is from RNAcentral.